This is a long non-coding RNA of Diabrotica virgifera virgifera (western corn rootworm), 1265 nucleotides long. RefSeq lists it as uncharacterized. The transcript has 2 exons. NCBI's taxonomy places the organism in Eukaryota, Metazoa, Arthropoda, Insecta, Coleoptera, Chrysomelidae. The record is from RefSeq and is a predicted model, not a curated record.
UUUAGUGUGAUUUUUAUUUUCAAAGAUCUCAUUCAAAAGAAACUUUUUAUUUAUUCUGAGGGACUUUUAGCCCUCGGUAAUAAUUUAGUCUUUCAUUCUGCGUUUAAAUUUUUCAAAAGUAUUACUUUUUUCAGUAUAGGGCUUUUCAUUCACAGUCAUUUGUUUCGAGCUUCUGUCAUGUGUCACAUAAUAUUAAUAUAUUUACGUCAUACGUUAUUGGUAUAUAACAAUGAUACAAACUAGAGACGUAUGACGUAGAUAUAUUAAUAUUAUGUGACACAUGACAGAAGCUCAAAACAAAUGGCAAUCGAUGAAAAGCCCUAUAGGGCUUUUCAUUCACAGUCAUUUGUUUCGAGCUUCUGUCGUGUGUUACAUAAUAAUAGGUCUGUUCCUUUGUUUUUUAGUGUUACACUUUUGAGUGUAAGUGUACGAAAUUCUAUGGACAUUUGAGUGUAAAAUGACAGCGGAUGUGACAGCGGCUCAUGACAGCGGACAGUAUUAAACGAAAAUUAUCGGUGUGCCAAUCAAGCAAAGGGACAAGGAACUUCCGAAUAUGGCCUAACUGGGGGCACAUAACAUAACAUAACCUAAUCCUAAUAUUUACAUUUGUAAAGAAUAUCCUGUUUGUUUUUAUUGUCGAUUGUGCAGCGAAAUUGUGUGCAGCAAAUCAAAUAUAAAGUAGUUUAUCGCCUACAGAACUGAAUUAGUCCAUAGCAGUUAUCAGUUUUUCUUUCUUGGGAAGCUUAUACAUGUAACUUGUAUUGUUGUAAAUUGUGGGAGUAGGGCAGACAGGGAAAAGUCUUAUUUUGUACUGUUCCCAAGGCUCCCCAUGCAAUACAUUUAAAUGAAUUAUCCAAACAAAGCUGGGGACAAUGGAUAAAAGCCACAAGAAGAACAGAUAUAAGGGAACUAAAAUUAAAAUAUGAAAAGUAAACAUUUUAUAAGUGGAACAACCACCAGAUAUUUAAAAGGUAUAAAAAGAAGAAACUGCUGGAAUUUCAAAACAAAUGUGUUUGACUAGUAAAGAUUUGGAUAAAUAACAGGAGUUACUUUGGGCUAUAGCUAAGUGCAGAUUUAUUUCCUUGUGGCUUCCUAUGUUAAUUCUUAUUAAUUAUACACUUAAAUAUGUUUUUAGUCUCAGGAAGAUUUUAUAUUUGAUUAUUUUUGAAUAAACAUUAUUAUUAUUAUUACCUUAAUUUCCAUUAAAUAAAUUAACUGUAAUCAAUAAAGUAAUCGUUUAAUUGUUAAUAAAUUAUCAAGUAUGA